UGUAAAUUUAAUUGUUAAUCCAAAGGGGUACAGCUCUUUGGAAUAGGAUACAACCUUAAUUAGAGAGUAAGCACAAAUCAACAACCAUAGUUGGCCUAAAAGCAGCCAUCAAUUAAGAAAGCGUUCAAGCUCAACAAGUUCAUUUACCCAACUUAAUGUAAAAAAUAUACUCAAACUCCUAACACCAAACUGGACUAAUCUAUACCAAUAUAGAAGCAAUACUGUUAAUAUGAGUAACAAGAUUUAAAUCUCCUAGCACAAGUAUAUGUCAGAACAAAUACUUAACUGAUAGUUAACGGCCAGAUAAAUAUAAUCCAUUAAUAAAACAUUUAUUUAUUCACCGUUGACCCAACACAGGCGUGCACUCAAGGAAAGAUUAAAAGAAGUAAAAGGAACUCGGCAAACACAAACCCCGCCUGUUUACCAAAAACAUCACCUCUAGCAUAACUAGUAUUAGAGGCACUGCCUGCCCAGUGACAACUGUUAAACGGCCGCGGUAUCCUGACCGUGCAAAGGUAGCAUAAUCAUUUGUUCCCUAAAUAGGGACUUGUAUGAAUGGCCACACGAGGGUUUAACUGUCUCUUACUUCCAAUCAGUGAAAUUGACCUUUCCGUGAAGAGGCGGAAAUAUAAUAAUUAGACGAGAAGACCCUAUGGAGCUUUAAUUUAUCUACUCCAAUAGAACCACCAAUUUACCCACACAGGAAUAACACUCAAUUCUAACUGGAUAGAAAAUUUCGGUUGGGGUGACCUCGGAGCAUAAACCAACCUCCGAGAACUUUUACUAAGACUAACAAGUCAAAGUAUAACCAUAUUAAUUGAUCCAGUCUAACUGAUCAACGGAACAAGUUACCCUAGGGAUAACAGCGCAAUCCUAUUCUAGAGUCCCUAUCGACAAUAGGGUUUACGACCUCGAUGUUGGAUCAGGACAUCCUAAUGGUGUAGCAGCUAUUAAUGGUUCGUUU
This 964-nucleotide ribosomal RNA is filed under the name Cryptotis oreoryctes. RNAcentral describes it as "partial 16S ribosomal RNA". It matches the Rfam family "Bacterial large subunit ribosomal RNA", at positions 881 to 2578 of the family's 2925-position model. The record is from RNAcentral. Lineage: Eukaryota; Metazoa; Chordata; Mammalia; Eulipotyphla; Soricidae.